This is a non-coding RNA of Vicugna pacos (alpaca), 1011 nucleotides long. The record is from RefSeq and is a predicted model, not a curated record. Lineage: Eukaryota; Metazoa; Chordata; Mammalia; Artiodactyla; Camelidae.
CUCUGUGGACAGGCAGGGGCACAGGUCACAGCUUCACCUGAGACGCAGACAUACCCACACACACACUCUGUGCUUCACAGGAGCUGCAGCUGCCAUGGACGGGCACGUCUGGAGUUUACCUGAUGACACGCAUUUGACACGAGUCAAACAAAAGGCAUGACAGCAGGGAUUUCAGGACCAGAGACGCAGACUUCAGAGCUCAAGGCCUGAAUGAGUCUGGGCCUGCGGUCCCUGCCCCAGACCAGGGGACGGCCGCCCAGGGCUGUGGGAAGAUCGGUGCUCAGGGAUGGAGCAGAGCCUGGAGCACCCUCAGAUGACCAGGCGCCAGCUUUAACUCCUAGAGUCCCAUCCGUGGGCCAUGAAACUCGGGCAUCACCAGCAGCCGCCUCCCGCACACACGGCAGGCUGCCCUGCUCUGUCACCCCAGUGCCACCCUCCACGGCCUCUAACAACAGCUCCUGGGAGGCACUGUCUAUGUUUUUAAGUGAAGACAUGAAUGUAGAAGUAAAUAAAAUUUUCAGUGCCAAUGUCAGUUUCUGGGUCUUCACAAAGCGCUAGUUACGUCAGCUGUGAGGGCGGCUGGAGGGACGGCAAAGGACUGUGUGCUGCUUCUGCAAAUUCUGUCAAAAUGUAAUUAUUUCGAUUCAUUAAAAGCUUGUGAAACAGUAAUGUAACCUAUUAUAAACAAUUUCAGUACCGCAAACUCAAGUACAGUAAAACAGAGCACUGUGUCUCAGCACCUAGUAUAAUUAGCAUAUAAUACUCUUUGACUUUAAAAAUUAUUUCAGUUAAAGUCAAAGGAACUGUAAUCAGACUUUCUAGGGACAAAUAUCCUGUUUCUGUCAAGGAAUUCGGGUAGAAAACGCCAUUCACUCCUGAUACUCUCAUCCCCUAACGAGUGAGAAAAGUAUUCCCAGCCCUCUGCUACUAAAUUCCCAGGGAAGGAAGAACCCCGAUCCCCCAGAAAGGGUUUGUAUAAGCCAUGAUUUAAGAGAGCGGAAGAGCAAACGU